This 123-nucleotide non-coding RNA is filed under the name uncultured eukaryote. The record is from RNAcentral.
AAAGAAAAAAAAAGAAAAAAAAAGAAGAAAAAAGAGAGAGGUUGCUAUAAGAUUUAAACAAGUGCAUUUCUCCUCAGUUUCCCCGUAGUUAAUCUUCUUGUGUGGUUCAUUCCUCCUUCUCCC